This 467-nucleotide ribosomal RNA is filed under the name uncultured bacterium. RNAcentral's name for it is "partial 16S ribosomal RNA". It matches the Rfam family "Bacterial small subunit ribosomal RNA", at positions 28 to 506 of the family's 1533-position model. The record is from RNAcentral.
GACGAACGCUGGCGGCGUGCUUAACACAUGCAAGUCGAACGGAAAGGCCCUGCUUUUGUGGGGUGCUCGAGUGGCGAACGGGUGAGUAACACGUGAGUAACCUGCCCUUGACUUUGGGAUAACUUCAGGAAACUGGGGCUAAUACCGGAUAGGAGCUCCUGCUGCAUGGUGGGGGUUGGAAAGUUUCGGCGGUUGGGGAUGGACUCGCGGCUUAUCAGCUUGUUGGUGGGGUAGUGGCUUACCAAGGCUUUGACGGGUAGCCGGCCUGAGAGGGUGACCGGCCACAUUGGGACUGGGAUACGGCCCAGACUCCUACGGGAGGCAGAAGUGGGAAAUAUUGCACAAUGGGCGGAAGCCUGAUGCAGCAACGCCGCGUGCGGGAUGACGGCCUUCGGGUUGUAAACCGCUUUCGCCUGUGACGAAGCGUGGGUGACGGUAAUGGGUAAAGAAGCACCGGCUAACUACGU